UAGGGAAUAUUAGUAAUGGGCGAAAGCCUGAACUAGCAACGCCGCGUGUGCGAAGAAGGCCUUCGGGUUGUAAAGCACUUUUAGAGAGGAUGAGGAAGGACGGUACUCUCAGAAUAAGUCUCGGCUAACUACGUGCCAGCAGCCGCGGUAACACGUAGGAGGCGAACGUUAUCCGGAUUUACUGGGCGUAAAGCGCGUGUAGGUGGUUUGGUAAGUAGGGCGUGAAAGCUCCCGGCUCAACUGGGAGAGGCCGUUCUAAACUGCCAAGCUAGAGGAUGGUAGAGGGAGGUGGAAUUCCGGGUGUGGCGGUGGAAUGCGCAGAUAUCCGGAGGAACACCAGUGUCGAAGACGGCCGCCUGAGCCACUCCUGACACUCAGACGCGAAAGCUAGGGUAGCAAACG
RNAcentral lists this ribosomal RNA (402 nucleotides) under uncultured bacterium. RNAcentral's name for it is "bacterial SSU rRNA". It matches the Rfam family "Bacterial small subunit ribosomal RNA", at positions 355 to 774 of the family's 1533-position model. The record is from RNAcentral.